RNAcentral lists this ribosomal RNA (253 nucleotides) under uncultured bacterium. RNAcentral describes it as "partial 16S ribosomal RNA". It matches the Rfam family "Bacterial small subunit ribosomal RNA", at positions 524 to 776 of the family's 1533-position model. The record is from RNAcentral.
UACAGAGGGUGCAAGCGUUGUUCGGAAUUACUGGGCGUAAAGCGCGUGUAGGCGGUUUGAUAAGUCAGGUGUGAAAUCCCUAGGCUUAACCAAGGAACUGCAUUUGAAACUGUCAAGCUAGAGUGUCGGAGGGGAUGGCGGAAUUCCCGGUGUAGAGGUGAAAUUCGUAGAUAUCGGGAGGAACACCCGUGGCGAAGGCGGCCAUCUGGAAGACUACUGACGCUGAGACGCGAAAGCGUGGGGAGCAAACAGG